CACACGAAUACAACAGAAAAAAAAUAGAUUUACAACUACAAACGUUAAGACAUUUGACAAAAUCCGAUGACAAUAACAAAUAUAACAUCAAAACUAAAUAAAUGAAUUUGGGAUGGAAAAGUACCGUGACACGUCUUAUAGCAAUGCGAAUUCACACUCAUCAAAACAGUCACAAUAGGGAAUAAGUCACAUUCGGUAAUAAAAAGAUCAGACGACGUAAUGACAAACCAC
This 231-nucleotide long non-coding RNA is filed under the name Mytilus galloprovincialis (Mediterranean mussel). The record is from RNAcentral. Lineage: Eukaryota; Metazoa; Mollusca; Bivalvia; Mytilida; Mytilidae.